This 554-nucleotide ribosomal RNA is filed under the name uncultured bacterium. RNAcentral describes it as "partial 16S ribosomal RNA". It matches the Rfam family "Bacterial small subunit ribosomal RNA", at positions 355 to 900 of the family's 1533-position model. The record is from RNAcentral.
UAGGGAAUCUUCCACAAUGGACGCAAGUCUGAUGGAGCAACGCCGCGUGAGUGAAGAAGGUCUUCGGAUCGUAAAGCUCUGUUGUUGGUGAAGAAGGAUAGAGGCAGUAACUGGUCUUUAUUUGACGGUAAUCAACCAGAAAGUCACGGCUAACUACGUGCCAGCAGCCGCGGUAAUACGUAGGUGGCAAGCGUUGUCCGGAUUUAUUGGGCGUAAAGCGAGCGCAGGCGGAAUGAUAAGUCUGAUGUGAAAGCCCACGGCUCAACCGUGGAACUGCAUCGGAAACUGUCAUUCUUGAGUGCAGAAGAGGAGAGUGGAACUCCAUGUGUAGCGGUGGAAUGCGUAGAUAUACGGAAGAACACCAGUGGCGAAGGCGGCUCUCUGGUCUGCAACUGACGCUGAGGCUCGAAAGCAUGGGUAGCGAACAGGAUUAGAUACCCUGGUAGUCCAUGCCGUAAACGAUGAGCGCUAGGUGUUGGGGACUUUCCGGUUCUCAGUGCCGCAGCAAACGCAUUAAGCGCUCCGCCUGGGGAGUACGACCGCAAGGUUGAAAC